UACGUAGGGUCCGAGCGUUGUCCGGAAUUAUUGGGCGUAAAGGGCUCGUAGGCGGUCUGUUGCGUCGGGAGUGAAAACUUACAGCUUAACUGUGAGCGUGCUUCCGAUACGGGCAGACUUGAGGUAUUCAGGGGAGAACGGAAUUCCUGGUGUAGCGGUGAAAUGCGCAGAUAUCAGGAGGAACACCGGUGGCGAAGGCGGUUCUCUGGGAAUAUACUGACGCUGAGGAGCGAAAGUGUGGGGAGCGAACAGG
This 253-nucleotide ribosomal RNA is filed under the name uncultured bacterium. RNAcentral's name for it is "partial 16S ribosomal RNA". It matches the Rfam family "Bacterial small subunit ribosomal RNA", at positions 524 to 776 of the family's 1533-position model. The record is from RNAcentral.